Molecule: ribosomal RNA, 459 nt
Filed under: Clostridioides difficile
Lineage: Bacteria; Bacillati; Bacillota; Clostridia; Peptostreptococcales; Peptostreptococcaceae
Description: bacterial LSU rRNA
Rfam family: Bacterial large subunit ribosomal RNA
Source: RNAcentral
GCAGUCAAAGUAGGUAAAUCCGCUUUGAUAAUGCUGGGAUGUGAUGGGGAGCGAAAUUUAGUAGCGAAGUAGCUGAUUUCACACUGUCAAGAAAAGUCUCUAUCGAGGUUAAAGGUACCCGUACCGCCAACCGACACAGGUGGGUGAGGAGAGUAUCCUAAGGCCAGCGAGAGAACUGUUGUUAAGGAACUCGGCAAAAUGACCCCGUAACUUAGGGAUAAGGGGUGCCACCAUCAGGUGGCCGCAGAGAAUAGGCCCAAGCGACUGUUUACCAAAAACAUAGGUUUCUGCUAAGUCGCAAGACGAUGUAUAGGAGCUGACGCCUGCCCGGGGCUGGAAGGUUAAGGGGAUCUGUUAGAGCAAUCGAAGCAGUGAACUUAAGCCCCAGUAAACGGCGGCCGUAACUAUAACGGUCCUAAGGUAGCGAAAUUCCUUGUCGGGUAAGUUCCGACCCGCACG